GCAGAAGCGGCAGGGCGCGACUGAUCGACCUUCCCAAGGUUGAGACGCGGGUUCGAUUCCCGCCAUCCGCUCCA
This 74-nucleotide transfer RNA is filed under the name Tepidiforma sp. RNAcentral describes it as "tRNA-Gly". It matches the Rfam family "tRNA". Rfam says of the family: Transfer RNA (tRNA) molecules are approximately 80 nucleotides in length. Their secondary structure includes four short double-helical elements and three loops (D, anti-codon, and T loops). The record is from RNAcentral. Lineage: Bacteria; Bacillati; Chloroflexota; Tepidiformia; Tepidiformales; Tepidiformaceae.